RNAcentral lists this ribosomal RNA (495 nucleotides) under Escherichia coli. Its description in RNAcentral is "partial 23S ribosomal RNA". It matches the Rfam family "Bacterial large subunit ribosomal RNA", at positions 745 to 1238 of the family's 2925-position model. The record is from RNAcentral. Lineage: Bacteria; Pseudomonadati; Pseudomonadota; Gammaproteobacteria; Enterobacterales; Enterobacteriaceae.
UUGAAGGUUGGGUAACACUAACUGGAGGACCGAACCGACUAAUGUUGAAAAAUUAGCGGAUGACUUGUGGCUGGGGGUGAAAGGCCAAUCAAACCGGGAGAUAGCUGGUUCUCCCCGAAAGCUAUUUAGGUAGCGCCUCGUGAAUUCAUCUCCGGGGGUAGAGCACUGUUUCGGCAAGGGGGUCAUCCCGACUUACCAACCCGAUGCAAACUGCGAAUACCGGAGAAUGUUAUCACGGGAGACACACGGCGGGUGCUAACGUCCGUCGUGAAGAGGGAAACAACCCAGACCGCCAGCUAAGGUCCCAAAGUCAUGGUUAAGUGGGAAACGAUGUGGGAAGGCCCAGACAGCCAGGAUGUUGGCUUAGAAGCAGCCAUCAUUUAAAGAAAGCGUAAUAGCUCACUGGUCGAGUCGGCCUGCGCGGAAGAUGUAACGGGGCUAAACCAUGCACCGAAGCUGCGGCAGCGACACUAUGUGUUGUUGGGUAGGGGAGCG